Molecule: ribosomal RNA, 428 nt
Filed under: uncultured prokaryote
Description: bacterial SSU rRNA
Rfam family: Bacterial small subunit ribosomal RNA
Source: RNAcentral
UGAGGAAUCUUGCGCAAUGGGGGAAACCCUGACGCAGCAACGCCGCGUGAGUGAGGAAGGCCUUCGGGUCGUAAAGCUCUGUCAGAUGGGAAGAAAUGGGUGGGGGCUAAUAUCGUCCAUCCUUGACGGUACCAUCAGAGGCAGCACCGGCUAACUCCGUGCCAGCAGCCGCGGUAAUACGGGGGGUGCAAGCGUUGUUCGGAAUCAUUGGGCGUAACGCGCGCGCAGGCGGCUUGGUAAGUCAGAUGUGAAAUCCCUGGGCUUAACCCAGGAAGUGCAUUUGAUACUGCCUCGCUAGAGUACGGGAGAGGAAAGUGGAAUUCCUGGUGUAGAGGUGAAAUUCGUAGAUAUCAGGAGGAACACCGGUGGCGAAGGCGACUUUCUGGCCCGAUACUGACGCUCAGGCGCGAAAGCGUGGGGAGCAAACA